Molecule: transfer RNA, 88 nt
Filed under: Acidobacteriota bacterium
Lineage: Bacteria; Pseudomonadati; Acidobacteriota
Description: Acidobacteria bacterium (wastewater metagenome) tRNA-Leu
Rfam family: tRNA
About the family: Transfer RNA (tRNA) molecules are approximately 80 nucleotides in length. Their secondary structure includes four short double-helical elements and three loops (D, anti-codon, and T loops).
Source: RNAcentral
GCCGAAGUGGUGGAAUUGGCAGACACGCUAGGUUCAGGGUCUAGUGGCCAAUGUGGCCGUGGGGGUUCAAGUCCCCCCUUCGGCACCA